AGUUUUAAGUGAAGAGUUUGAUCCUGGCUCAGAGUGAACGCUGGCGGUAGGCCUAACACAUGCAAGUCGAACGGCAGCACAGAGGAGCUUGCUCCUUGGGUGGCGAGUGGCGGACGGGUGAGGAAUACAUCGGAAUCUACUCUGUCGUGGGGGAUAACGUAGGGAAACUUACGCUAAUACCGCAUACGACCUACGGGUGAAAGCAGGGGAUCUUCGGACCUUGCGCGAUUGAAUGAGCCGAUGUCGGAUUAGCUAGUUGGCGGGGUAAAGGCCCACCAAGGCGACGAUCCGUAGCUGGUCUGAGAGGAUGAUCAGCCACACUGGAACUGAGACACGGUCCAGACUCCUACGGGAGGCAGCAGUGGGGAAUAUUGGACAAUGGGCGCAAGCCUGAUCCAGCCAUACCGCGUGGGUGAAGAAGGCCUUCGGGUUGUAAAGCCCUUUUGUUGGGAAAGAAAUCCAUCUGGUUAAUACCCGGGUGGGAUGACGGUACCCAAAGAAUAAGCACCGGCUAACUUCGUGCCAGCAGCCGCGGUAAUACGAAGGGUGCAAGCGUUACUCGGAAUUACUGGGCGUAAAGCGUGCGUAGGUGGUCGUUUAAGUCCGUUGUGAAAGCCCUGGGCUCAACCUGGGAACUGCAG
RNAcentral lists this ribosomal RNA (641 nucleotides) under Stenotrophomonas maltophilia. RNAcentral describes it as "bacterial SSU rRNA". It matches the Rfam family "Bacterial small subunit ribosomal RNA", at positions 1 to 626 of the family's 1533-position model. The record is from RNAcentral. Lineage: Bacteria; Pseudomonadati; Pseudomonadota; Gammaproteobacteria; Lysobacterales; Lysobacteraceae.